RNAcentral lists this non-coding RNA (256 nucleotides) under Enterococcus sp. RNAcentral describes it as "T-box sequence". It matches the Rfam family "T-box leader". From Rfam's summary of the family: Uncharged tRNA acts as the effector for transcription antitermination of genes in the T-box leader family. T-boxes are found upstream of many aminoacyl-tRNA synthetase genes and some amino acid biosynthetic genes usually in Gram-positive bacteria. Lineage: Bacteria; Bacillati; Bacillota; Bacilli; Lactobacillales; Enterococcaceae. The record is from RNAcentral.
GAAAAAACGGUGAUCAGAAUAGUAAAUGAAUCGAUUCGUUUCAGAGAGUUUCCGGAUGCUGCAAGGAAAUAGCGAUUCCUCAUUGAACACGCCUGUCAGUUGUUUUUCUGAAAAAUCAUUCGGAUAUUUAUUGUGAAUCAGUAGGAAAAAUCGGAGAGCCCGUUAUCGCUUUUUAGUUAUUGAACUAACAGAGGUUUUUGUCGUGAGAUAAAGACGAAUCUGAGGUGGGACCACGUGAAAAUUUCUCGUCCUCUUG